Macaca mulatta (Rhesus monkey) is the source of this 5452-nucleotide non-coding RNA. NCBI's taxonomy places the organism in Eukaryota, Metazoa, Chordata, Mammalia, Primates, Cercopithecidae. The record is from RefSeq and is a predicted model, not a curated record.
GCUGGAAUUACAGGCAUGAGCCACUGCACCUGGCUGGCCUUUUUUUUUUUUUUUUCCAACUUUCUAUCUCUUUCAAAGUUAACUGGUUACCUUUCGCCUCCUCCGCUCCGCAGGCUAUGCAGUAGCCCAUUUCUCUGAUAUGUAAUACCUGAGGGCAGUAACUGUUAGACCCUCCAGUCCACGGCAAAAUGUGAGAUGAACACAUGCUAUUUCUUGGGUAAAUGGGGAGAGAUGAAUGCUUGAAAUAAUGAACUCUCUCUGGACAAUUUAGCAUCAUUUCCUUCUUAACCUGGUGUUCAUGUACCCAUUUUAAAGUGACGACUAAAGGUAUUGAUGGGGAUGGGGAGAGGUGGAAGCAGGAUUCUCAGAACGGUUUCCAGCAUAGCAGUGAUGAUGAGCAGGACUGAGAUGGAGCAGGUACUAGAUGAAAAACUGAAACCAAAACCCAAAGAAAGCAAGAAAUUGAAUUUGACAUACCUGGGUGAAGGAAGAUGGGUGUACUGGGUUGAAUAAAUAUCCCUUGUAAGUUCACAUCUACCUGAAAUCUUAGAAUGUGACCUUACGUGGAAAUAGGGUCUUUGCAGAUAUAAUUACGAGAUUAGGGUGGGCCCUAAAUCCAAUGACGGGUGUUCUUGUAAGAGGAACGGAGGAUACACAGAAAAACAGACCAUGUCUUCCAUGCUGCCCUGGAUGGAGGGGCCCAUCAAGCACUCAGGGCAGCCUCAGCAUGAUGGGAAGCCAUGGGCCAAGCCAUCCCUGCAAUGUGCAGGAGGGAGAAAUCACAUCAGAUGGGAUCGCUUGAAUGUUCACGUUUUUAUGAAGAAGGAAUCUGGUUAGAAUGAUCAUCAGGAAUAGAAGAGGUCUGUGCAGGGAGAAGGGUGAUGGGGAGUGUACUGUGGUGCUUUUGUGGAAAAGUGGAUGGGAUGUGGGUUUGCUUUGAUGUAAGUGAAAAGAGAAGAGAAGGAAAGGAAGUGUGAAAUGACCCAGUUGGUUUUUGCAAUGAAUGAUGUGUAAGAAAAUGGCCUUUUUUUUUUUUUUUUCUGGGUCACCAGGCAGCUCUGACCAUCUGUCAGAUGGCAUCACUUCAGGCAGAGGGUGGGGUAAGAGAGAGCUUGGCCUUUGGAGGAUUUCCUUAGGCGCCACUCCAGCACCUUCUUUCUCCUCCUCAGCGUCGGAGAUGGUGAGGGAUAAUGGGAUGCACGCUGGGAGCCUUCCCUGGAUCCCCAUAUGGUCAGCGCUCUGUCUGAGCAAGUCUGUCCCCUUCUUGGAUUCUUGGUCUUCUCCCUUUUACAGGAGGCUUACAAAGUUUAUGUGAGCAUUGAGGAAAAAUAUUUUGUAAACCUCCAAAUGCUGUCUAAUAUUGUAUCCUAUAGUUCUCCAAGGACUGAGAAGGAAGAUAGAUGGAGUCUUAAUCUUUUGGGGUUUGAGGGAAGCUCGCAUACUGUGUGAAAAGUAAUGAAGGUUUCAGUUUGAGAUGAUGAGGUUCUAGAGAUGGCUGGUGGUGAUGGUUGCACAACAAUGUGAAAAUGUGAAUGGACUGAAUGCCACUGAACUGUACACUUAAAAAUGGAUUAAAUGGUCAAUUGUAUAUGCUCUCUGUUUUACCAUGACAGAAAAGUCACACCUCUAUCCCUCCCCCAAAAAAGUAAUGUACAUACAGGACAAAGCUGAUAUGUGAGUAAAUUUGCCACUCCAGCUAUUACAGAGCAAUUAUUAACAUUUUGUGGUGAAUGCUUGUAUUUGCAAUCACUGUAAGGAAUUAGGACCGGUUACCAGGACCCAACACAAUAUAUUGUUGUUAGUGCUUUUGGAUGGCUCUAGAAAUUCUUUUGGGAGGGAGUAAAUUAUGUCACAAUAAUUGAAACAGAAAUGAACUAUAAGCUGAACUUAAUAACAUGAUCUGAGAUCACUUCUCCCCCUCUACCCCUGCCUUCAAGGUUGUUCUCCUACCAUAGCACUACUUUUUCUUUGUUUCCCAAUUUACUCCUUAUCCCGGUAGGUCAAGGUGAAAACAGAUUUGCAUCUAUAAUACAGAAACAUGUGAAUCUCCUGUGGCCUCCUGUAUGUUACUAAAAAUGUCUCAUGUUAUUAUGGACCCUGGUCCUGUGGGCCAGACUUUGCUCCCAGAAAGAAGCAAGAACUAUUUGCACAUCUCCCAGAUCAUUCCUUCCCCAGGCCUGUGGGCAUCCACAUCAAAGCCUUACAGGAUCACCCCCAGUUUUUUCCUUUCUUAAGCUCCAAGGUGCUUUUGAAGAUCAGAACCAUAAGUAUGAAUACUGCUUGAGGGUAUCUGCAUUUCUGAGGAGUCUCCCAUAGGCUGAAGGCCCAGAAAGUAACUCGGAAAGGGGUUGAAAGAUAGAUGCCUUUUGGAUUGAGAAAUUGUUUUACUUCAUCACAAAAUAAACUACUUAUGGUUUGGGAUUUAAAUACUGGGACAUGUAUUGUACCUCCUCUAAAUCAUCCCAGAAAAUGAAGCAGAAGAACAGUGUUCAAUGUAGAACUGCCCAUGGUGCCAGAUGAUUUUGAGUCACAUACAGAGGCAGGCACAGCUCUCAAAUGUUAUGGCUACUUGUGUUUCCGACAGGCAGCCAGUUUCCUAAGAGGGGGUUGGGGGCAGGAAAAAUUCAGUGCCUUCAUUGUGGGCUGCUUCUUGUUGAAUUUUGCUCCACAGGUUAGAAGACAGGUCCCAGUCUUCCUAAUGAGGCAUUGAAAGUCUAGGUGGAAUAGAUGCUUGCUGGAGCCUGUGGAGAUUAUAAAAGAGCUCACUGCCUUAACGUGGUCAGGAGAGGCAGGAGUGAGAGCCAGUGUGAAGGUGUGGGAGUUGGAAGGAACUUGGAACUCAACUUCUUUUGGCCCCUCAACUUGAGAUUCACAAAGAAAAAAAGCAAUGUCUCCUCGCUGAAAGCAAAAUGGAAACUCCUCCUUGCACAGUGCAGCCCCUUCCUCGCUAUAGGUUAUUUCAAGUGAGAAGAAUAAACAUGACUUCCAAAUGCCAUCUAACAAUAUAUGAAUAUCUAAAGGAGACAAGGAUGACUGAAUGCAUCUUCAUGUGUAGGAAGUGAAGUGGCUGUUGACAUUAAGUACUUCUUCAUGAGUGAGAGGAGGCCCGUGAUGGAGAUGACACCAGUACCUCCUUCUAGCACUCUGAAUUCCCAGUGUUUACUACUGGUGUCUCUGAAACUACAGCAUCCUCACCAGGACCACACAGGGAACAAAGGCAAGACACCUGAAAUCCCUUUAGCCGUAUUCACAACACUUACUUCAUAGAUAGGAUGAUGUUUGAAAUAUGAGAAGGAUUUUUUUAAAAAGAGCACUCUGUUCUCUUGGUAUCCUAGUAUGAGUGUCUGAAAGUGCUCAUUGGCUGGAAGGUUUCAUGUGAGCAUCAGCCGCAGGGUCCAGAAGACACUCUUGGCAAGCCUGGAGAGUGAGGAUGUUGAACAGGCAGUGGAAGCAUCCAUGAAAAGCAGGCAGCUGCACAAGACUUUCCAACAGAUGGCUGGUCACUUGCACAGAGGGAAGGAGCCAUGGAUUCCGUGAUAAUGACACUUGUGCCAGCUUUUGUGUUUCCAGAAGUAUUGAAGAUAUAAGGGAACCAACACGUGUAGAGUAUGUGAAGUCUUACAGAGACGAGGUCCUAAGGUAUCUAUUUUGACAAAUCACGUUGCAAGUAAUGUGAAAGCAGUUUGAAGAAAAAAUGUCCCCAUCUAAUGCUGCAUUAGGGCAUGCAUUUCUAUAGCCUAAAUCUGUCAGUGACAUGAAAAUACAUGUUUUGUUGGACACAGAAUAGGUUGAACACAUAAUAGGUUCUAGAAUGGAUCUGCAUAAAGAAGUAAGAAGAAAGGAUAUAAAGGUAGAAGAAUAAAUGUAUAAAUAUUACAACAGGACACUGAGCUGGGUGGCUCUUUACCAUAGACCUCGCUCGUAUUUCUCACUACAGGCUUGCUGUGAGUCAAUUUCCAAGUUCUCUCUUUCUCCUUCCAAACUGCCCUGUAUGUAAUCUUGCUCCUGGGCCACCUGACUGAUUUUUAAUGCCUGGAUAUUUGCUUCCACCUCUGCAUGACCAAACCUUGGCCAAGUCACUGUUGACUCAGUUGCAACAUCUGUCCCCUGCUGAGGGCUGUCAUAGCUUUCAUAGCUUACAAACAGUCCAGCUUGAAUCCAACAUUUUCUGUGGUCAUUUGGAGUAGCAAGAAGCAUUGUGUUUUGGAUUUACUGCAGAGAUCACACGCUUAACUGUAUACAGUCAGUUUUUAUAGCUAUCACUGCAUCCAGGUUGGACAGUGACCUUGACUGAGACAUCCUUUACCUCUGUUUCAGAUCAAUUUAGGCGGCAUAUAAAAUCUCUGUGCACUGCCAGGGGAAAGUAAAGUGGAAGACUUCAUGAAGAAAUGGACAAGGCCAAAUAGUUGACCAUUGUUGCUGUAUAAAUCUUGGAUCCAGGGCUAAAAGGUGGCAGUAUAAAUGCAGAUGGUGCUGCUGCCAUAUUUUCCUAGCACAUCUUCAAGCAGCAUAUUUCAAGCCGUCAGGGUUGGAAUGGCAUUUCCAAAUAUAAACUCAAAAAAUCCUCAGGUGUUUGGUUCUAGAAUAGAGCUGGGAAUUUUGUCCUGCAAAUGCCUUCUGCAGCAUGGGAGCAAACCCACUCUUCUGUGUCUGAUGCUUCAAACUUUCUAUUUUCUGGAAACUGGAGAAAGAUGUGGGUCUACAUUUUGAAGUAUAUGCCUUGAACAGGAAUUAUGCACCUAUAGAAAACUUGUCAUACAUUGAGUAAACUCUCAGUUUACAGAAAUCUAUGGAAAUAUCAAAAUAAAACAUCAGAAGGAGCGGUAACUAUAGAGGUUACUAACUAAGGGGAUUACCUGAAAAAUAAAGUUAUAUUUGCCAAAAACUGUAUUUGAUUAGUUUGGACUUCUUUUUUCCUAUCCCUUUUCUGUUUUAUAUUUAUAUUUCAUUUCUUCUAAAAUUAAGUGAUCUGUCAUGAUCUAAUAUUGUAGAAAAUGUCCAAGUCUAGACAUUAGGAUGGCUUUUGUUAUUUUAGUCACAUGCAAGAAGCAGAAUGGUUUUGUGGAGAGAGCUCUAUCUUUGGAGUCCAGCUCUACCUUCGGUGCUAAACCCAGGCAUCUUUGUCCUGAUUAUAGUACCCCUCUGGCUUCUCCUUAUGUUUGUAAAAUGAGGGGGGCUCUCUGAAGUAUCCUUCUGGCUGUAAAAUCUAUUAGCUCUUAUUGCUGAAGGUUGCUUCUGUUCAGAGUUUCUAGGUUUCUUAUAAACUGAGGAGCCAGAGGUCAGGAGGAAUGGAAACUUGUUAUUCCAUUUGUAACAUUGUUCAAAGUUUUAAAUACAAACACAAGUAAUUAAUCUGUCAUCGUUGCUUGAACAUAUUAUACUUCACUGAAUGAUAAAAUACAAUCUUUAGAAAAAUUUGUUAUGAGAAAUAAAUGUUGCUGCUUAUCUAAAA